This 430-nucleotide ribosomal RNA is filed under the name bacterium. RNAcentral's name for it is "partial 16S ribosomal RNA". It matches the Rfam family "Bacterial small subunit ribosomal RNA", at positions 355 to 776 of the family's 1533-position model. The record is from RNAcentral.
UGGGGAAUAUUGGACAAUGGGCGCAAGCCUGAUCCAGCCAUGCCGCGUGUGUGAAGAAGGCCUUUUGGUUGUAAAGCACUUUAAGCGAGGAGGAGGCUACUUGGAUUAAUACUCUAGGAUAGUGGACGUUACUCGCAGAAUAAGCACCGGCUAACUCUGUGCCAGCAGCCGCGGUAAUACAGAGGGUGCGAGCGUUAAUCGGAUUUACUGGGCGUAAAGCGUGCGUAGGCGGCUUCUUAAGUCGGAUGUGAAAUCCCUGAGCUUAACUUAGGAAUUGCAUUCGGUACUGGGAAGCUAGAGUAUGGGAGAGGAUGGUAGAAUUCCAGGUGUAGCGGUGAAAUGCGUAGAGAUCUGGAGGAAUACCGAUGGCGAAGGCGGCCAUCUGGCCUAAUACUGACGCUGAGGUACGAAAGCAUGGGGAGCAAACAGG